RNAcentral lists this ribosomal RNA (464 nucleotides) under uncultured bacterium. Its description in RNAcentral is "partial 16S ribosomal RNA". It matches the Rfam family "Bacterial small subunit ribosomal RNA", at positions 28 to 507 of the family's 1533-position model. The record is from RNAcentral.
GACGAACGCUGGCGGCGUGCUUAACACAUGCAAGUCGAACGGAAAGGCCCUGCUUGCAGGGUACUCGAGUGGCGAACGGGUGAGUAACACGUGGGUGAUCUGCCCUGCACUUCGGGAUAAGCCUGGGAAACUGGGUCUAAUACCGGAUAGGAGCCAUUUUUAGUGUGAUGGUUGGAAAGUUUUUUCGGUGUAGGAUGAGCUCGCGGCCUAUCAGCUUGUUGGUGGGGUAAUGGCCUACCAAGGCGGCGACGGGUAGCCGGCCUGAGAGGGUGGACGGCCACAUUGGGACUGAGAUACGGCCCAGACUCCACGGGAGGCAGCAGUGGGGAAUAUUGCACAAUGGGCGCAAGCCUGAUGCAGCGACGCCGCGUGGGGGAUGACGGCCUUCGGGUUGUAAACUCCUUUCGCUAGGGACGAAGCUUUUUGUGACGGUACCUAGAGAAGAAGCACCGGCUAACUACGUG